This 860-nucleotide ribosomal RNA is filed under the name uncultured bacterium. Its description in RNAcentral is "bacterial SSU rRNA". It matches the Rfam family "Bacterial small subunit ribosomal RNA", at positions 58 to 916 of the family's 1533-position model. The record is from RNAcentral.
CAAGUCGGGCGGCAGCGCGGGACAUCCUGGCGGCGAGCGGCGAACGGGUGAGUAAUGCUUCGGAAUCUACCCAGUAGUGGGGAAUAACCAGUCGAAAGACUGGCUAAUACCGCAUACGACCUAUGGGUGAAAGCGGGGGAUCGCAAGACCUCGCGCUAUUGGAUGAGCCGAAGUCGGAUUAGCUAGUUGAUGAGGUAACGGCUCACCAAGGCGACGAUCCGUAGCUGGUCUGAGAGGACGACCAGCCACACUGGGACUGAGACACGGCCCAGACUCCUACGGGAGGCAGCAGUGGGGAAUAUUGGACAAUGGGGGCAACCCUGAUCCAGCGACGCCGCGUGUGUGAAGAAGGCCUGCGGGCUGUAAAGCACUUUUAGUGGGGAGGAAACGCUCAGACCUAACACGUCUGGGAAUUGACUUAACCCAAAGAAAAAGCACCGGCUAACUCUGUGCCAGCAGCCGCGGUAAUACAGAGGGUGCAAGCGUUAAUCGGAAUUACUGGGCGUAAAGCGUGCGUAGACGGUUAUCUAAGUCGGAUGUGAAAUCCCCGGGCUCAACCUGGGAAUUGCAUUCGAGACUGAAUAGCUAGGGUUCGGAAGAGGGAAGCGGAAUUUCCGGUGUAGCGGUGAAAUGCGUAGAUAUCGGAAGGAACAUCAGUGGCGAAAGCGGCUUCCUGGUCCAGAACCGACGUUCAGGCACGAAAGCGUGGGGAGCAAACAGGAUUAGAUACCCUGGUAGUCCACGCCAUAAACGAUGAGAACUAGACGUUGAGAGGGUCUGCCUCCCAGUGUCGCAGCUAACGCGUUAAGUUCUCCGCCUGGGGAGUACGGGCCGCAAGGUUGAACUCAAGGAAUUGACGG